Molecule: ribosomal RNA, 430 nt
Filed under: uncultured Legionella sp.
Lineage: Bacteria; Pseudomonadati; Pseudomonadota; Gammaproteobacteria; Legionellales; Legionellaceae
Description: bacterial SSU rRNA
Rfam family: Bacterial small subunit ribosomal RNA
Source: RNAcentral
GACUAGGUUAAGAGCUAAUUAACUGGACGUUACCUACAGAAGAAGCACCGGCUAACUCCGUGCCAGCAGCCGCGGUAAUACGGAGGGUGCGAGCGUUAAUCGGAAUUACUGGGCGUAAAGGGUGCGUAGGUGGUUUGAUAAGUUAGUUGUGAAAUUCCUGGGCUCAACCUAGGCACUGCAACUAAUACUGUUGAACUCGAGUAUGGGAGAGGGCAGUGGAAUUUCCGGUGUAGCGGUGAAAUGCGUAGAGAUCGGAAGGAACACCAGUGGCGAAGGCGGCUGCCUGGCCUAAUACUGACACUGAGGCACGAAAGCGUGGGGAGCAAACAGGAUUAGAUACCCUGGUAGUCCACGCCGUAAACGAUGUCAACUAGCCGUUGGUUAUAUGAAUAUAAUUAGUGGCGCAGCAAACGCGAUAAGUUGACAUCGU